ACUCCAACACAGAAAUCUUGUCAGGCUUUUUGGCUGUUGCAUUCAUAAUGAAGAUAAGAUGUUGAUAUAUGAAUAUUUACCGAAUAAAAGCUUGGACUAUUUCAUCUUUGGUAUGGUUAUGCAAUUUUAUUUUCAUUCACCCAUCUUUAAUUUAUACUUCUUUCCCCAUGUCCUAUCAUUUGAAGGAUCUCCAAAACUCUCAUUGAUAACAGAUAAGAGGAGGAAGCAACUAUUGAACUGGAUCAAGCGUUUUAAAAUUAUUUUAGGGAUAGCUCAAGGAGUCUUAUAUUUGCAUCGAGAUUCAAGACUAAAAAUCAUCCA
This 321-nucleotide unclassified non-coding RNA is filed under the name Hevea brasiliensis (rubber tree). The record is from RNAcentral. Lineage: Eukaryota; Viridiplantae; Streptophyta; Magnoliopsida; Malpighiales; Euphorbiaceae.